AAUAAAACAUAAAAAAUAUUAUAUACAUCAUUUAAAAUCAUUCACAUUACAACUCAAGACUUAACAAUUGCUUAAUCAAAUUUAGAGCAAAUUAAUUGUCACAAAUUUGGCCUCAUGGAGACCCACAUGCCACAUCAUCCAAUAGCUUUUUUGCCUAUUCAAACAUCAGCGAAGGAAGAAAAACACCAGACCACCUGCCAAACUUAAAACACAGAGAUGACAAAUGAGCAUAAGAUGGAAGAAUAUCCACUAUACCAAUAAGCCUAUAAAAAGAACAGAAAAGCUACAUGCACCUAAUUUAUACACAUGAUCAUGCAGCCAAACAGAUCCCACAUCAAGUUGAUAACAAACAUAAUUAACUUGCCAAUAAUAUCCGAAGUAACUUGUACAUCAGCAAGUACAAAAACUUAGGCAUUGUAGUAAAUGUUACCAAACGGAAGGGAAAUAAUAUUGUAGUAAUUGUUACCAAACGGAAGGGAAAUAAUAUUGGGUAAAAUUCUGGACCGAACAAAUUAUUCAUCUCAAAUAUCGAUCCACAAAACAUUCUAUUGGACCAAAAAAUAAAUUCAAUGCCAAAGUCUCUGAUUUGAAUUAUCCAGGCAUGAUACUACAAUACAAUACAAUCGCCAUGUUAAUAUGCUUCCAUACCUCAAACUCUCUUGCCAUUUUAAAUACGGUAAAAUGGAGAGACAGAAUUAUAUAAAAUAUCUCCAAAACAUUUUACCACCUAUAUUAUCAUAUCAUAUUAGAAACAAAAACAACAACAAUCACAAGACAGAAAAGGAUAGCAGCAGCAUUAUCAGUUGUAAUACACAUUGAUACAACCAAAGAUGCAUAUUGAAAUUAUUUCCAAAGCUUCUCAUAUCCACAAUGCUCUUGUUGGGACAAACAAAAAGAAAAUUAAUGCCAGUCAGCCCUUCAUCAACCAUUUUUUUAUCUAGCCCCUGUACACUACCAAUGCCCACCAGUGAACUGACAAUUUAUUUUGUCUAUUGCAGAUGAAAUAUGCCACUUUUUUAAUUCUAAGUCACCCCCCUCUUCCAUGUACAAGUACUAGAGUUCCUUCUUAAACAGGCAACAGAACAUGAGGUUUUCCUCCAGGGGCAUAUUAUCCAGAUUGCAUGGAGUAGAGAAGAUUAACAAGAACACAAGUAAACACUGAGAAAAUUAGGAUUUGUUUAUAAGAAUAAGUAUCCUAGAGAUGAAUUAAAAAAAUAUGUAUGCAUAACAUCUAUGCAAGAUGCCUAAGCAGACAAGUGAGAAGAGAAUUUAUUAAGGAAGCCAUUUUCUCUUACUAUGUUCGUUAUGGAACUAAAAGCUGCUGAACAGUAGCCAGCAAUUAAAAAACAUUGCACAUGUAAAACAUACCAAUACCUUAUGCGAGAGAAAAGCACAAAGACAGAAAAUGAACCGAGACAGUAGAGGUUCAUACCUUAAUGUCUUCACGAGGGAUUCCUCUAGAUGAAUCAAUAGGAUCAUUUUCAGCAUGUACUUGAAAUAUAUUAUGACACAUUCAUGAGAGUGUAUUCAUUUUCACCCUUAGAAAUCCAACUACAAGUGUAAAUAAGAGCAGAAGCAUGUGUACUUAUCAAAUUCUUCGCUUUCUUCUUCUUUUAGUUUUUUACUUUCUAGAAAGAAAUUGUAUGUGCUAGGUAUUAUGUUCCCAUCUUUUCUCAAACUAGUACCACUGUAUGAGGGAAAAAAUCACAUUUCUCACUCUAUUUCGACUCAUUACAAAAUUCAAAUUUCUCUAACACAAUAACACAAUGUAUGUCAGGGUUCUGAAUUAUCUUAGUUCCUUCAUAAUUCAUAUAUAACAAAAUGACAAUUGAAUGUUCCUUUCUAACACAAAGACAUGGGCAUUGUACUAAUAAAACAAGAUUGAGAGGGGGGUGCGUGGUGGAGGGAGGGAGAGAUUGCAAACCAUCCCAAACUUCACAAGAGAAAAGCUUUAAAGAAAAACAAUUCUGUGAAAAAAUCACGAACAAAAACUUGAAUAGAUUAAGAGAUUCAAACCAGAUUAUAAAUGUGAAGAUAAUUUAAAGUAAACAUCUUACAGACUCAUGAACAUGCGAACACCAAAAAGUCNNNN
This 2092-nucleotide long non-coding RNA is filed under the name Panax ginseng (ginseng). Its description in RNAcentral is "long non-coding RNA (PGIN_LNC016190)". Lineage: Eukaryota; Viridiplantae; Streptophyta; Magnoliopsida; Apiales; Araliaceae. The record is from RNAcentral.